CCAGUAAAGUCAGCCUUGACCUACCAAACGCACAGGAAGACAUCUGAGUCACCUUGCUGCACCCAAACUUCUCCUCUGGCAAGUUCUCAUUUCCUAAAAGGAAGUGGUUGAGGCAUUUCUCCUCCGUACAGCAGCACAGGUACUGCAUGGUAUCAUCCAGUCUCCUGUACUAGCUAGGCUGUGCUAGGACGUACAUGACAGGAGUCUCGAAGGCAUAUGUAGAAAUACCUGUGACCACCAGGAUACAGGUGCAGAGUUGCAGACAUCUGAUGGAGAAGCUGUCAUGUCAGGGAUGCCUGACCACGUGCCCAAAGAACUUCAUCUCUGCCACACUGCAGCUCUGUGGCCAGCUUGUGCUGGGGGUAAAGCUGGCCUCUGCCUUCUGGCUGCUGAGGAAGAUGUUUGAGUCACCUUGCUGCAGCCCAAACCACCUGAAUGAGGAUGGUUCUACUGAAGGCAUCCAUCAGCUGGAGCUCAUCCUCAGAGUGGUGCGAGAAGCACAGCACCUCUCCCACAAGCUGCUCUGCAGUUCCACAAGGAGGUCUUGUGGGCAUCUUCCCUGCAGUGUCCAGCUCCAGGUGGAAGGAGUGGCCAGCAGGAGGCUUCAAGGACACAAGCAGGUGGUGAGCAGCAUCAUCCUCGAGGGGUCUCCAGCCUUGAAAACCACUGCCCACCCUGACAGCUGGCUGCAGCAGCAGAAGGAAAGUAAUCAAGAGCAAUCAGAAGACACACAGGACUUCUCCCACCAGGUCCUCCAUGAUGCAUGUCCAAGUGUCGUGGUUCUGCUCGAGUGGGCAGGCGAGCUCCACCACAGCUGCUCUCUCACUCUGCCUCCUCAAAGAGGAACAGGGAGAAAAUACGAUGAAAAGGGCUCAAAAUUUGAGAUAAGGACAAGCAGAUCACGCAGUAAUUAUUAUAAUGGGCAAAACAGGCUCUGCAUAGGGAGAUAGUAAGAUUUAUUACUUAUUACUAAGCUAGAGAAGUGAGAAACAAAGGAAAGAAACC
Molecule: long non-coding RNA, 1005 nt
Filed under: Anas platyrhynchos platyrhynchos (common mallard)
Lineage: Eukaryota; Metazoa; Chordata; Aves; Anseriformes; Anatidae
Description: lncRNA (ENSAPLG00000028969.1)
Source: RNAcentral